Molecule: ribosomal RNA, 253 nt
Filed under: uncultured bacterium
Lineage: Bacteria
Description: partial 16S ribosomal RNA
Rfam family: Bacterial small subunit ribosomal RNA
Source: RNAcentral
UACGAAGGGGGCUAGCGUUGCUCGGAAUUACUGGGCGUAAAGGGCGCGUAGGCGGACAGUUAAGUCAGAGGUGAAAGCCCAGGGCUCAACCCUGGAAUUGCCUUUGAUACUGGCUGUCUUGAGUAUGGGAGAGGUGAGUGGAGCUCCGAGUGUAGAGGUGAAAUUCGUAGAUAUUCGGAAGAACACCAGUGGCGAAGGCGACUCACUGGCCCAUUACUGACGCUGAGGCGCGAAAGCGUGGGGAGCAAACAGG